This 30-nucleotide small RNA is filed under the name Bombyx mori (domestic silkworm). Its description in RNAcentral is "ovarian small RNA-1493". The record is from RNAcentral. Lineage: Eukaryota; Metazoa; Arthropoda; Insecta; Lepidoptera; Bombycidae.
UGAAACAACAGGGCCUAUUGGAGCCCACAA